UACGUAGGGGGCAAGCGUUGUCCGGAUUUAUUGGGCGUAAAGAGCGUGUAGGCGGCUGGGUAGGUCCGUUGUGAAAACUCGAGGCUCAACCUCGAGACGCCGAUGGAAACCCUCCAGCUAGAGUCCGGAAGAGGAGAGUGGAAUUCCUGGUGUAGCGGUGAAAUGCGCAGAUAUCAGGAAGGACACCCGUGGCUAAGGCGGCUCUCUAGUACGGUACUGACGCUGAGACGCGAAAGCGUGGGGAGCAAACAGG
This 253-nucleotide ribosomal RNA is filed under the name uncultured bacterium. RNAcentral's name for it is "partial 16S ribosomal RNA". It matches the Rfam family "Bacterial small subunit ribosomal RNA", at positions 524 to 776 of the family's 1533-position model. The record is from RNAcentral.